RNAcentral lists this ribosomal RNA (492 nucleotides) under uncultured bacterium. RNAcentral's name for it is "partial 16S ribosomal RNA". It matches the Rfam family "Bacterial small subunit ribosomal RNA", at positions 29 to 507 of the family's 1533-position model. The record is from RNAcentral.
AGUGAACGCUGGCGGUAGGCCUAACACAUGCAAGUCGAACGGCAGCACAGUAAGAGCUUGCUCUUACGGGUGGCGAGUGGCGGACGGGUGAGGAAUACAUCGGAAUCUACUUUUUCGUGGGGGAUAACGUAGGGAAACUUACGCUAAUACCGCAUACGACCUACGGGUGAAAGCAGGGGAUCUUCUGACCUUGCGCGAUUGAAUGAGCCGAUGUCGGAUUAGCUAGUUGGCGGGGUAAAGGCCCACCACGGCGACGAUCCGUAGCUGGUCUGAGAGGAUGAUCAGCCACACUGGAACGGAGACACGGUCCAGACUCCAACGGGAGGCAGCAGUGGGGAAUAUUGGACAAUGGGCGCAAGCCUGAUCCAGCCAUACCGCGUGGGUGAAGAAGGCCUUCGGGUUGUAAAGCCCUUUUGUUGGGAAAGAAAAGCAGCAGGUUAAUACCCCGCUGUUCUGACGGUACCCAAAGAAUAAGCACCGGCUAACUUCGUG